GUGCUACUGUAACCGCUCAUUUCAGGUAUUAAGAACCCAGUGUCGCCUGUAAGUGGCGAGUCUAAGUAAUCAA
This 73-nucleotide small RNA is filed under the name Brochothrix thermosphacta. The record is from RNAcentral. Lineage: Bacteria; Bacillati; Bacillota; Bacilli; Caryophanales; Listeriaceae.